RNAcentral lists this ribosomal RNA (471 nucleotides) under uncultured bacterium. RNAcentral describes it as "bacterial SSU rRNA". It matches the Rfam family "Bacterial small subunit ribosomal RNA", at positions 355 to 825 of the family's 1533-position model. The record is from RNAcentral.
UGGGGAAUCUUGCGCAAUGGGCGAAAGCCUGACGCAGCGACGCCGCGUGAGUGAUGAAGGCCUUCGGGUUGUAAAGCUCUGUGGGGAGAGAAGAAUAAGUGCGGGCUAAUACCCCGCAUGAUGACGGUAUCUCCUUAGCAAGCACCGGCUAACUCUGUGCCAGCAGCCGCGGUAAGACAGAGGGUGCAAACGUUGUUCGGAAUUACUGGGCGUAAAGCGAGUGUAGGCGGUUUGGUAAGUCGGAUGUGAAAGCCCCGGGCUCAACCCGGGAAGUGCAUUCGAUACUGCCAAGCUAGGGUAUCGGAGAGGUUGGUGGAAUUCUCGGUGUAGAGGUGAAAUUCGUAGAUAUCGAGAGGAACACCGGUGGCGAAGGCGGCCAACUGGACGAAUACUGACGCUGAGACUCGAAAGCGUGGGGAGCAAACAGGAUUAGAUACCCAAGUAGUCCCUGAGCGGGCUGGCAAGGCGCAU